RNAcentral lists this ribosomal RNA (383 nucleotides) under uncultured eukaryote. RNAcentral's name for it is "partial 18S ribosomal RNA". It matches the Rfam family "Eukaryotic small subunit ribosomal RNA", at positions 592 to 976 of the family's 1831-position model. The record is from RNAcentral.
CAAUAGCGUAUAUUAAAGUUGUUGCGGUUAAAAAGCUCGUAGUUGGAUCUCGGCAGGCAGGGGGUGGUUCGCUCUUAGCGCUACUGCCCCAUUUGCCUGUGUGAUUGGCGGAGGUUUCGGGGUGCUCUUCGUUGAGUGACCCGGGGCGCCGUCAGGUUUACUUUGAAAAAAUUAGAGUGCUCAAAGCAGGCUUUUCACGCUUGAAUAUUCGUGCAUGGAAUAAUGGAAUAGGAACUCGCUUCUAUUUUGUUGGUUUUCGGAAAUCGAGUUAAUGAUUAAUAGGGACAAUUGGGGGCAUUAGUAUUCAGACGACAGAGGUGAAAUUCUUGGACCGUCUGAAGACUAACUACUGCGAAAGCAUUUGCCAAGAGUGUUUUCAUUAA